GACGAACGCUGGCGGCGUGCCUAAUACAUGCAAGUAGAACGCUGAAGGAGGAGCUUGCUUCUCUGGAUGAGUUGCGAACGGGUGAGUAACGCGUAGGUAACCUGCCUGGUAGCGGGGGAUAACUAUUGGAAACGAUAGCUAAUACCGCAUAAGAGUAGAUGUUGCAUGACAUUUGCUUAAAAGGUGCAAUUGCAUCACUACCAGAUGGACCUGCGUUGUAUUAGCUAGUUGGUGGGGUAAUGGCUCACCAAGGCGACGAUACAUAGCCGACCUGAGAGGGUGAUCGGCCACACUGGGACUGAGACACGGCCCAGACUCCUACGGGAGGCAGCAGUAGGGAAUCUUCGGCAAUGGACGGAAGGCUGACCGAGCAACGCCGCGUGAGUGAAGAAGGUUUUCGGAUCGUAAAGCUCUGUUGUAAGAGAAGAACGAGUGUGAGAGUGGAAAGUUCACACUGUGACGGUAGCUUACCAGAAAGGGACGGCUAACUACGUG
RNAcentral lists this ribosomal RNA (495 nucleotides) under uncultured bacterium. RNAcentral's name for it is "partial 16S ribosomal RNA". It matches the Rfam family "Bacterial small subunit ribosomal RNA", at positions 28 to 507 of the family's 1533-position model. The record is from RNAcentral.